This 2335-nucleotide long non-coding RNA is filed under the name Capra hircus (goat). Its description in RNAcentral is "lncRNA (ENSCHIG00000004254.1)". The record is from RNAcentral. Lineage: Eukaryota; Metazoa; Chordata; Mammalia; Artiodactyla; Bovidae.
AAAGCUCUAACCCAGUGCCCCAAGCCUUAGGUCUUCCAUACCCCGGCAGCGGGCCCCGCCCCUCGGUUUCCCAACCUGCCUGACCCCGCCCUGCCUCUCCUAACUCCUCCCAGGCCCCGCCUCCGCCGCUUCCCACAGCCCUUCCCGUCGGCUCCUGGCUCCAGGCUCCCACCCGGCUCGGCGGAGGUGGAAGCGCGCAGGCGCCGUUGGCGGCAGGCAGAGUGCGGAGUAGCGGCGCGGGGUGCGCGAGGGAUUCAUCAUCCAAGGAUCUACCGGAGACCACAGGAAAACAUGGGAAUGAAAUAGACAUCUUGCCUCCUGAGAUUACUGCAUCACACAGAGUAUCACUGAAACUGUUGGGCAGGCUGGAUGGACAGCUCUUUGUGGACUCUGCCCUUUGCUGCAUGGAUAAGUUGUUUUUAUUAAAAGAGAAAUUGCCUUAAUAUGGGUUCAUGUCUGCAAUGGAUAGGGGUAUGCAUGCAUCUGGACAUGAUGUCUUUGUGUAUAGUUGUAUAAUGUUUAGAUUGCUUAUGAAGUAUUUCAAAGUGAGACUCUUUACCCUUGUACAACCUAGAUAAUGGCUAUAUGGAAAGUAACAUGUAUUCUCUAAUUUCUCUGGCGUUUAUAACUGACUAGAACCCUCUGAAUGAGGGUUAGAGAAGAGUUUUAUCCAAACUUCUGUAUGUAGAGGUAUCAUAAAUAUGCUGUAUACUUAAAGUUUGUGGAAUUAAUUAAUGUAUUUCACUAUGGUUCCCAGUGCUAAAAUUGGACUUCAAGGUCCCUACAGAUUGAUUGUGUUGGAGCAGACUGGUGGCAUGCCCCAGGCUUUGGGGGCAAGUGUAGAAAUGCCAUCAGAUCACAGUUUAAUAAUUUCUUGCGAGGUGUGAAUUCAGUCAUGGUGUCAAUUGAAAACUAUUUUAACCUUUAAAAAAAUUAAAAAAAAAAACGUUUACCGUGGACCAUUGUUAAAGUCUAUUGAAUUUGUUACGGUAUUGUUUCUGUUCGGUGUUUUUGGUUCUGUGGUCUUAGCUCCUCAACCAGGGAUUGAACACACACCCCUGCAUUGGAAGGCAAAGUCUUAACCACUUGACCACCAGGGGAGUCCCCUAUUUUAACCUUUUUUGCAAGCAGAUUCUGUAAUAUGUUUCUGUAUGUAGUCUUGCUCUUCAGUCAAGGGGGUUUACUUAUGAUGACCUAAUGGUACCCUGCCCUCUCUCCAGCUCUAGUCAAUCAUUUCCAAGUACCUAGUAUUUCUACUUCAUUGGGCAAAGCAUUUACCACUCUGUGCCUCAGUUUACUCAGUAGUUUGCCAUUAGACUGAGCUCCUUGAGGGACUUUAUCUUAUUGUUAAACCCACUGCCUUGCACCAACAUCUGGCACGUAAAAAGUGCUCCAUAAAUGUUUGAACAAAUCAGUGAGUGAGUCAGUGAAUGGUAAAAUUAGACUAAUAAUACUUGGCUUAUGUAGCAUACAAGGUUCUUGUAUCAUUGAAAUUCAUAUCUUAAGCUUCUCUUGCUUUCAAAGAAAGAAUUGAAGCAACAUGAAAUUAAGACCAUGUAUAAAAAGAGCAUAGGAAUCAAAAAUUAAAAUAUUGGAAGAUAAUACUGAGCAUUUAGGAAUUGCACACCUGUGAGCUCCAGUGGCUUUUGCCAGUCCUGCCCCUCUGCUGAACACCAGCCUCCUCCCUCCUAGUAGUCCCUGCCGACUGCCUCUGCCAGUCUGGGACUCCUCAUUGUGCUCCUUGGGCACAGGUGAUGAACAUGAGAGUUUCAGCAGAAGGUGUGUGUAUCGGUCAGGUGCCCCUUGGACAGGGCCAGGCUGUGCAUUAUAGAGUUGGCAGCUGUCACUUAUAUGUGAUGGCUAAACAUGAGAGUGGAUGAGGUCACCUAAUAAGAGGGAAGGAGAAGAGGAGAGGCCAGUUAACAUUUAUUUUAAGGGAAAAGACAGCAGAAAAAGCCUUUCCUGAGAGGGAAGAAUGAGAGGAAGGGGAAAAACAACUGAAGAAGGUGGUGCCCCCAAAAUCCAACAAAGGAAGCAUGGCCACAAGUGAUAGCAUCCUUUCUAAAUAGCAGUUUCUUACUUGUGAGAUAUGACAAAUACUCUACUUUUCAAAAUGUUCUGAGUAAAAUGAGAUCAUGUAAACAAAAGCCCUCUGUAAACUCGUAAAUAACCUCAAAGGGCCUCCUGUCUCUUUCCUCUUCAGAUCCACCAACUUUCACUUCUUGUUGCUGUCAGUGUGUUGAUCUAGUUCAGCUCACCCCUAGUCCCUUCUACUUCUCAGCUUUCAUGUGCGAAAGAAGCUUUCCAGUCUUAUAGCCAGGCUCGUGGAUGAGGG